This 668-nucleotide long non-coding RNA is filed under the name Pan troglodytes (chimpanzee). Its description in RNAcentral is "long non-coding RNA NONPTRT016412". Lineage: Eukaryota; Metazoa; Chordata; Mammalia; Primates; Hominidae. The record is from RNAcentral.
UGAAGAAGCCGUGCCUAGACCUUCCCACAAGGCCAUGAUAAAUCGUAUGAGAGUCAGCUGACCCCCCAGAUAUGUGAAUACAGCCAAGAUUAUCUAAACAGCCCAAUAGACCCAAGACUGACUGGAGAUGUAUGUGAGCUAGCAAAGAUCAGCCAAGACCAGACCCAGAUCCUCUGAGCCCUGCAAGCUCAUGAGCUAAGUGGCUCAUCACGAGCAAACAUUCCCCAUGUGUUCCAGUUCAUGUUUCUUCUGAAAGUCGUGUGCUCAGUUUCCCCAAAGCCAUAGAUGUACUGAGAUGGCAGACGCGUAGAAAUGGAGAGAAACAUGUCAUUGAAGGUGAAGCCAGGGAGUUGAGAAUCCCAGCUGCAACACAAAAGCAGACCACGCUGAGCUGGAGACCACUGGCCAGAGCUACUUGUAAUGUGUUUGGAAUGUCUAGUUGAUUCCAAAGCCUCCUUAAUUAUUGCACAUUUCAAUCCAGGUUCAAAUAUGGUGACAUGAUCCAGGUCAUAACAAUGGCCCUGACUCAAGACCAAAGUUCCAUGUUACAUUUCUGUUCUGUGGUUUGUCAGACUGAGAGCUCCUUUUCUGGGUCCUUGUGGGCAAGGGCCAUAACUCAUUCUUCUAUUUAUUUCAAGUUCUCAGUGCCUGGAAUAUCAGCUUGAGUA